Molecule: ribosomal RNA, 284 nt
Filed under: uncultured bacterium
Lineage: Bacteria
Description: partial 16S ribosomal RNA
Rfam family: Bacterial small subunit ribosomal RNA
Source: RNAcentral
GACGAACGCUGGCGGCGUGCUUAACACAUGCAAGUCGAGCGGUAAGGCCCUUUCGGGGUACGACGAGCGGCGAACGGGUGAGUAACACGUGGGUGACCUGCCCUCAGCUCUGGGAUAAGCCCGGGAAACUGGGUCUAAUACCGGAUAUGACUUCAUGACGCAUGUUGUGGAGUGGAAAGCCUUGUGCGGCUGAGGAUGGGCCCGCGGCCUAUCAGCUUGUUGGUGGGGNGANGGCCUACCAAGGCGACGACGGGUAGCCGGCCUGAGAGGGCGACCGGCCACAC